UUUAUCUUCACAUACGAAACGAAAGAUAAUGCAUGAACCUAGAGAUAAUGAACUAGGCUAUGGACACACUGUUAGAUGGCUGCUGAGCACUUGGUAAAAUUAACCUGACACAAGAUUAAAAACAUAAGUGAAACUGAUAGUGACCUUGCAGCCGAUCUAUUACAAAGCGUAGUGGAAGUGCUGAAUGUACGCAAAAAGUAAGCCCAUACAAUUCACAUUUCGUUACUAAUUACUAUUAAAAUGCACAUAUGAUCGGUACGCAAAACGUUGUUAUAUAAGGUCAGCAUCAAUUUUGUUAAAAAAAAACGAUCAUAGGCUUAACUGGGUUUCAGUUGUUUUAAAAAUACAGAACCUGAUAACAUAAAUUUGAGAGUCAAUGCCAUUGAUUAAUGCAUCAUUUCUCAGGAGGUGCAGAUUUUCUGUUCACUGUUUGGGGACCGUCACUCGGGUUCUCCGCUCUUGGGUGUGUAGGUUGGCAUUUUGUUCUUGCAUGCCCGGCUAUUUCGGCAGUAGAGAAGCAAAGCAGAGUCGGCCACGUCGCUGCUGGUUCCCGGGAGUCAGGCUAUAGGAAAUGUGUGCAAGAAUGGAUAAACGCCUGUGAAUGCGCAAAGCCCUUUAAUGAUGAGCUCUGAAAGCCCCAUCAAUAACCAUAAAUGACGCUAAACACGCAUAUCGCAAGGCUGGCUAUUCAUGAAGCCAGUUUCUCGAUCAAAUUCGUAAGUCAUUGCUUCAUUUUAUGGCUUCGUCUUAGAAGAGGAGGAAUUCUCUAUCGCUUGAGGGUGCUUUAAAACUAUGGUCUACCCAGAGAACCUUGUCUGUUCUUUUACUUUCAGCCUAAAAUAUUACGCAAUAACGUUAUGUGACCUUGGAUGUCUUAUGUCAUAAGACAAAAAUGUAUCAGGAUUGGGGGUAUAUAUGUAAAAUUAUAUGAUUCACAAAUACAACACAGUAUAGCAAUGGUAAUUUAAUACGAAGGGGCAUUUUCAAACAUCUUGUGUGUGUCUUAUUUUAAAACGUGAAUCGAAAAGACCGUGCUGGCCGCGUGCGGUUUUAGUGCUUGUAUACUAAACAAAGAGUCAUGGAAGCCUGCGCGUGAUCAAUCUUCCUCACCAAAAGGUCUGACAACAUCGCACCCCCACUACAUAUUUCAACUAUCUUACACUGCGCAAGAUCUAAUACAACCAGAAAGGGACAAAGAAGACACUACAGACUUUCUCGCCUGUUUUAUUCCGUUUUACACACAAAAUCCAUCAAACUCUCGUUUGGAUAUAGCUAUAUUAUUGGAAAUAGUGGCACACACAGGGACCUGGGAAGCUGUCAGAAUGUAAUGGAUGAGUCUGCUCGGAGGAACCCGUUGGACCUCAACACACAGCUGCGAGAUGCGAGAAAUUAGUAAAACAUCACGCUUUACAUGUACAGCAAUAGACACUUCGUUAUGCAACAUGCCUUUUAUGAGGACAUGGAAGGUUUUGAAUAAUUGUUAUCAUUUUUUUAGGGUUUUUUUUCAAUUAUUUUUUUAAUAUUUUAUCACUCUCAUACUUUGUAAAAUUCUGAUUUAAAAAGAAAGUUCUCUCUUAAAAUAUUUCUAAAAUACACAAAAUAUUUUUUUUAUGUUCAUUGAAUAUACUGUUUAAAUAUAGCGUUUUAACUGUGUUCAUUAGCCACGCAAAAAGAAUGUUGUUCUGAAUUUAUGAAAUUGAUAAAAAUCGAUAUGUCAUUUCAAGUGAAUAAAAAAUUCAUUUGAAACAUGCAAGCUGGGUAAGCCUGUUGUCUAAUUAAUACAUUAAAAUAAUUUAUAUUUUAGUCAUGCGCGCUGAUGUGCCAUUUGUGAAAUUUUAUUUUAUCUGAGCGGUAAGUGAGAAAUGUGGGAAAUUUUGAAGAGAUCUUUAAAUUCUCAUAGAACUGAAAUAAUUUAGUGAGAAAAACUCGUUUUAUUUUUACUUACUUUUGUUGUAUUCAUUAAAAGUAAAUUUCAUAUUUGAUAUUUGGGUUAAUGUUAAAAGCAUUUGUCCAUAUUGUACUAUUUCUCUGGAAAGCUUGUAUACUGAUUAAAAAAAAUGGUAAAAUGUACUUUUCUUUUCAUCUGCUCUUUUUAAAAUGUGACCUCAAGUACACUGUGACUUAAAUGGUUAAAUGUUUAAAAAGAAUAUACAUGUUUUGGUCCUUUCUUUCAAUUAUUGUUUUUUUUUUAUAUUAGAGUGCUCAAGCAAAAACAAAACGUAAAAAAAAAUAAUCGCACAUUUUUUUUUCUCUUAUUACACAAGAAAACAAAGACAAGAAAACAAAAAGGACACUAUCAACUUACCCUUAAAUUGUAUAUAAAGCUGUUUUGUUAACCACUUAGCAACAUUAAUGCUACAUUUCAAUGGCCACUAAAACAAUUAAAAUAGGAAAACGCUUAACUACAGUCAUUUUUUGGGCCACUCAAGAAACCAGACUGAUGACCUGGUAGAAUUUGUGUGCACAUACACCUCUGGUCAGCAUGCCCAAGAGCCCAGUUAGUUCAAGUAAACAUUGCAUCUUUUCCUUUUCUAGUUUUCAGAGCACUUGCAAAAGAGUUGUAAAUUUUACCCAGUAAAUUAAGUAAAAUAUACACAUUAGGGUUUCACAUCAGAAAUAUUAGAUUGUGGAAACAUGAUCUCUGUCAUUUAUGCAUGACUGUGCUAGCCUGAAAAUUUCAGUAACUGCAUAUUACCUGGGAUUUUCAUGCAGAAAAAUCACCAUCCAGUGAGCAACAAAGGAGAUUGCCAGAUUGGUUUCACUGACAGGAAAUCCAUGGUAACUCACUUAACCACUCUUUCCAACCAUGGUGAUCUCAGACCCCAUAUUUGAGGGGGAUGGGCUAUCAGAUGAAGAUGAAGAUCACUUCAGAUGAAGUUCACUGCAGGCUACGGUUCUGAAUGUCCAAAACAGGAAUUUGG
Molecule: long non-coding RNA, 2921 nt
Organism: Hemibagrus wyckioides
Lineage: Eukaryota; Metazoa; Chordata; Actinopteri; Siluriformes; Bagridae
Exons: 3
Source: RefSeq, a predicted model, not a curated record